This 122-nucleotide ribosomal RNA is filed under the name Methanomicrobiaceae archaeon. The record is from RNAcentral. Lineage: Archaea; Methanobacteriati; Methanobacteriota; Methanomicrobia; Methanomicrobiales; Methanomicrobiaceae.
AAUAGCGGCCACAGCAGCGGGGAGACACCUGGACCCAUCCCGAACCCAGAAGUUAAGCCCGCUCACGUGUCGUGCGGUACUGAAUUGCGCGAGCAUUCGGGAACCACGACUCGCUGCUAUUC